CCCGGGCUCAACCUGGGAACUGCAUUCGAAACUGGCAGGCUUGAGUCUUGUAGAGGGGGGUAGAAUUCCAGGUGUAGCGGUGAAAUGCGUAGAGAUCUGGAGGAAUACCGGUGGCGAAGGCGGCCCCCUGGACAAAGACUGACGCUCAGGUGCGAAAGCGUGGGGAGCAAACAGGAUUAGAUACCCUGGUAGUCCACGCCGUAAACGAUGUCUACUUGGAGGUUGUGCCCUUGAGGCGUGGCUUCCGGAGCUAACGCGUUAAGUAGACCGCCUGGGGAGUACGGCCGCAAGGUUAAAACUCAAAUGAAUUGACGGGGGCCCGCACAAGCGGUGGAGCAUGUGGUUUAAUUCGAUGCAACGCGAAGAACCUUACCUGGUCUUGACAUCCACGGAAGUUUUCAGAGAUGAGAAUGUGCCUUCGGG
RNAcentral lists this ribosomal RNA (423 nucleotides) under Salmonella enterica subsp. enterica. RNAcentral's name for it is "bacterial SSU rRNA". It matches the Rfam family "Bacterial small subunit ribosomal RNA", at positions 602 to 1024 of the family's 1533-position model. Lineage: Bacteria; Pseudomonadati; Pseudomonadota; Gammaproteobacteria; Enterobacterales; Enterobacteriaceae. The record is from RNAcentral.